RNAcentral lists this ribosomal RNA (554 nucleotides) under uncultured bacterium. RNAcentral describes it as "bacterial SSU rRNA". It matches the Rfam family "Bacterial small subunit ribosomal RNA", at positions 347 to 916 of the family's 1533-position model. The record is from RNAcentral.
GGCAGCAGUAGGGAAUAUUGCCCAAUGGGCGAAAGCCUGAGGCAGCAACGCCGCGUGCGCGAUGAAGGCCUUCGGGUUGUAAAGCGCUUUUCUGGGGGAAGAGGAAGGACGGUACCCCAGGAAUAAGUCUCGGCUAACUACGUGCCAGCAGCCGCGGUAAAACGUAGGAGGCAAGCGUUAUCCGGAUUUACUGGGCGUAAAGCGCGUGUAGGCGGUUUGGUAAGUCGGACGUGAAAUCUCCCGGCUCAACUGGGAGAGGCCGUUCGAGACUGCCAGACUUGAGGGCAGUAGAGGGAGGUGGAAUUCUGGGUGUAGCGGUGAAAUGCGUAGAUAUCCAGAGGAACACCAGUGGCGAAGGCGGCCUCCUGGCCUGUCCCUGACGCUCAGACGCGAAAGCUAGGGGAGCAAACGGGAUUAGAAACCCCGGUAGUCCUAGCCGUAAACGAUGCAGACUUGGUGUUGGUGGUUUAAAAACCAUCAGUGCCGGAGCUAACGCGGUAAGUCUGCCGCCUGGGGACUACGGUCGCAAGGCUAAAACUCAAAUGAAUUGACGG